GGUGAGUUGGUGGCGGGAGCCGCGGGAGUAGUGAGGAUGCAGGCUUUAAUCUGAAUUACGGGGCGGAAAGCGUGCGCAGGCGGUCUCUUAAGACAGGUGUGAAAUCCCAGAGCUUAACUUGGGAACUGCGCUUGUAACUGAGAGGCGUGAGUGUGGCAGAGGGGGGUGGAAUUCCACGUGUAGCAGUGAAAUGCGUAGAGAUGUGGAGGAACACCGAUGGCGAAGGCAGCCCCCUGGGGUAACACUGACGCUCAUGCACGAAAGCGUGGGGAGCAAACAGGAUUAGAUACCCUAGUAGUC
RNAcentral lists this ribosomal RNA (300 nucleotides) under uncultured Bacillus sp. Its description in RNAcentral is "partial 16S ribosomal RNA". It matches the Rfam family "Bacterial small subunit ribosomal RNA", at positions 496 to 795 of the family's 1533-position model. Lineage: Bacteria; Bacillati; Bacillota; Bacilli; Caryophanales; Bacillaceae. The record is from RNAcentral.